GUUGCUAAUUAGUCACAUCUCUACAAUACCUGCUGCUUAUCCGGUCAGUUACCUAUAGCUUGUACCAUAGCCAUUAUAUUUGUAGGACCAAUACAAUUUACAGUAAAUGUAACAGUCUUUUCUAUACUGUAGGGGGGCACAUCCCAGUUACCCACAUGCAAGGAGGCUGUCAGAGAAAUCACUGCAGACUGUUGGUACACAGACAUCUGCUGCCCAGCUCAGGAGUGAAGUACCUUUUGGUUUGAUGAGGUGAUGGUGAGGACAGCCACAGCUUCCAUCUGGUAGAGGACUGCUUCCGCUCAGUCUUCCAAAUAGUGAUGAGAACAAGGAUCACCACAUCUCCCUGUUUACCCUACUUUCAUGCAUUUCGGCUGCAAGGCCCUGCAAAAGCUUCUGUCCUCAACCCCCCAGACUUCUUAAUUAACUCAGUAACCUAUACAUUGCACAUUGGAGUGUGAAGGUAACAGUUUGUUCUAGCUUUGGAGUAGUGGUGCAUUUUUUUGGUUUACAAUAAAGUUGGCUUUAACUAUUA
Betta splendens (Siamese fighting fish) is the source of this 532-nucleotide long non-coding RNA. RefSeq lists it as uncharacterized. NCBI's taxonomy places the organism in Eukaryota, Metazoa, Chordata, Actinopteri, Anabantiformes, Osphronemidae. The transcript is spliced from 2 exons. The record is from RefSeq and is a predicted model, not a curated record.